RNAcentral lists this ribosomal RNA (473 nucleotides) under uncultured bacterium. RNAcentral's name for it is "partial 16S ribosomal RNA". It matches the Rfam family "Bacterial small subunit ribosomal RNA", at positions 330 to 794 of the family's 1533-position model. The record is from RNAcentral.
ACCAGACUCCUACGGGAGGCAGCAGUGGGGAAUCUUCCGCAAUGGGCGCAAGCCUGACGGAGCAAUGCCGCGUGAACGAAGAAGGUCUUCGGAUUGUAAAGUUCUGUCCUUAUCGAAGAGAGGGUAUAGAGUGAAAAAUGAUAUACUAGGACGGUAGAUGAGGGGGAAGCCCCGGCUAACUACGUGCCAGCAGCCGCGGUAAUACGUAGGGGGCAAGCGUUGUCCGGAUUUACUGGGUGUAAAGGGCGUGCAGCCGGGAGUGCAAGUCAGAUGUGAAAUCCCGCGGCUCAACCGCGGAACUGCAUUUGAAACUGUGCUUCUUGAGUGCUGGAGAGGCAGACGGAAUUCCUAGUGUAGCGGUGAAAUGCGUAGAUAUUAGGAGGAACACCAGUGGCGAAGGCGGUCUGCUGGACAGUAACUGACGGUGAGGCGCGAAAGCGUGGGGAGCAAACAGGAUUAGAUACCCCUGUAUC